RNAcentral lists this ribosomal RNA (460 nucleotides) under uncultured bacterium. RNAcentral describes it as "partial 16S ribosomal RNA". It matches the Rfam family "Bacterial small subunit ribosomal RNA", at positions 338 to 795 of the family's 1533-position model. The record is from RNAcentral.
CCUACGGGUGGCAGCAGUGAGGAAUAUUGGUCAAUGGACGAGAGUCUGAACCAGCCAAGUAGCGUGAAGGAUGACUGCCCUAUGGGUUGUAAACUUCUUUUAUAUGGGAAUAAAAUGUUCCACGUGUGGGAUUUUGUAUGUACCAUAUGAAUAAGGAUCGGCUAACUCCGUGCCAGCAGCCGCGGUAAUACGGAGAAUCCGAGCGUUAUCCGGAUUUAUUGGGUUUAAAGGGAGCGUAGGUGGAUUGUUAAGUCAGUUGUGAAAGUUUACGGCUCAACCGUAAAAUUGCAGUUGAAACUGGCAGUCUUGAGUACAGUAGAGGUGGGCGGAAUUCGUGGUGUAGCGGUGAAAUGCUUAGAUAUCACGAAGAACUCCGAUUGCGAAGGCAGUUCACUGGACUGCAACUGACACUGAGGCUCGAAAGUGUGGGUAUCAAACAGGAUUAGAUACCCCAGUAGUC